Transfer RNA from Cyphellophora europaea CBS 101466, 117 nucleotides. It matches the Rfam family "tRNA". From Rfam's summary of the family: Transfer RNA (tRNA) molecules are approximately 80 nucleotides in length. Their secondary structure includes four short double-helical elements and three loops (D, anti-codon, and T loops). Further hydrogen bonds mediate the characteristic L-shaped molecular structure. tRNAs have two regions of fundamental functional importance: the anti-codon, which is responsible for specific mRNA codon recognition, and the 3' end, to which the tRNAs corresponding amino acid is attached (by aminoacyl-tRNA synthetases). tRNAs cope with the degeneracy of the genetic code in two manners: having more than one tRNA (with a specific anti-codon) for a particular amino acid; and 'wobble' base-pairing, i.e. permitting non-standard base-pairing at the 3rd anti-codon position. The record is from Rfam. Lineage: Eukaryota; Fungi; Ascomycota; Eurotiomycetes; Chaetothyriales; Cyphellophoraceae.
GCCCUGCUGGCGCAAUGGUAGCGCGUUAGACUUCUAUUUACACGCUUUAGGCGUCCCCAAACUACUCAAUGAGUGGGUGGGAUCUAAAGGUUGUGGGUUCGAGUCCCACGUAGGGUG